RNAcentral lists this long non-coding RNA (482 nucleotides) under Volvox carteri. Its description in RNAcentral is "long non-coding RNA (VCAR_LNC001132)". Lineage: Eukaryota; Viridiplantae; Chlorophyta; Chlorophyceae; Chlamydomonadales; Volvocaceae. The record is from RNAcentral.
UUCGUAAGUAGAAGCCCGCCAAAGUUUGCGGUUGUUCCCCUCCGGAAGAAGCCUGUUACAUUCACGCCACCACUGAGAACAUUCCCCUGCUUGCAUCGUGCGGAGUCCUUGAUAUCUUGGCGAUUUCCUGUCGAGCGGAACACUUUGUGUAUUCGCAGGUUGAACCGGAAACAGAGCACGCGCGCCAGCAGCAACUGUCUGUGUCCAGUCAACCCACCAGCAGCGGGGAUGGCCCCAGCAGUAAUAGCGGCGCCAUGUGUGGCGAUAGCUCGAGUCUGGGCAUGGGCCAAUCGAGCCGCAGCGGAGCGUUUCGGAGCUUCAGCGCAAAUGACCUUCAGGUGCUUUUGUUGGGAUGGGGACCUAAACGCGUCUAUUUAUUUAUGCUCAGCCAGUAUUUGGUGCAUCCACUCGCCACGGCAAUUUCCCUUCCUCGGCGGUACUAGCUAGCUGUAUACGCUGGCCUACACUCCUUAGCCAUGGAC